GACGAACGCUGGCGGCGUGCUUAACACAUGCAAGUCGAACGAAGAGCGAUGGAAGCUUGCUUCUAUCAAUCUUAGUGGCGAACGGGUGAGUAACGCGUAAUCAACCUGCCCUUCAGAGGGGGACAACAGUUGGAAACGACUGCUAAUACCGCAUACGAUCUAAUCUCGGCAUCGAGGAUAGAUGAAAGGUGGCCUCUACAUGUAAGCUAUCACUGAAGGAGGGGAUUGCGGCUGAUUAGCUAGUUGGGGGGGUAACGGCCCACCAAGGCGAUGAUCAGUAGCCGGUCUGAGAGGAUGAACGGCCACAUUGGGACUGAGACACGGCCCAGACUCCUACGGGAGGCAGCAGUGGGGAAUCUUCCGCAAUGGACGAAAGUCUGACGGAGCAACGCCGCGUGAGUGAUGACGGCCUUCGGGUUGUAAAGCUCUGUUAAUCGGGACGAAAGGCCUUCUUGCGAAUAGUGAGAAGGAUUGACGGUACCGGAAGAGAAAGCCACGGCUAACUACGUG
This 510-nucleotide ribosomal RNA is filed under the name uncultured bacterium. RNAcentral's name for it is "partial 16S ribosomal RNA". It matches the Rfam family "Bacterial small subunit ribosomal RNA", at positions 28 to 507 of the family's 1533-position model. The record is from RNAcentral.